GACAGAGGUGCCGAGCGUUAGGCGGAAUCACUGGGCUUAAAGCGUGUGUAGGUGGAUGCCUAAGUACCUUGUGAAAUCCCACGGCUUAACCGUGGAACUGCUUGGUAUACUGGGUGUCUUGAGCCAGCUAGGGGCUACCGGAACAAAUGGUGGAGCGGUGAAAUGCGUAGAUAUCAUUUGGAACGCCAAUGGUGAAAACAGGUAGCUGGGGCUGUGCUGGACCAUAACUGACACUCAGGGACGAAAGCUAGGGGAGCGAAUGGG
RNAcentral lists this ribosomal RNA (264 nucleotides) under uncultured bacterium. Its description in RNAcentral is "partial 16S ribosomal RNA". It matches the Rfam family "Bacterial small subunit ribosomal RNA", at positions 524 to 776 of the family's 1533-position model. The record is from RNAcentral.